UACGUAGGUGGCAAGCGUUGUCCGGAUUUAUUGGGUUUAAAGGGUGCGUAGGCGGCUUUGUAAGUCAGUGGUGAAAUACGGCAGCUCAACUGUCGAGGUGCCAUUGAUACUGCAGAGCUAGAGUACUGAUGAGGUAGGCGGAAUGGACGGUGUAGCGGUGAAAUGCUUAGAUAUCCGGAGGAACACCGGUGGCGAAGGCGGCUUCCUGGACCGACACUGACGCUGAGGCGCGAAAGCUAGGGGAGCAAACGGG
Molecule: ribosomal RNA, 253 nt
Filed under: uncultured bacterium
Lineage: Bacteria
Description: partial 16S ribosomal RNA
Rfam family: Bacterial small subunit ribosomal RNA
Source: RNAcentral